AAUGAUUAAGAAGAAAAUAUCUUAUAAAUAGAUUUACAAUCUACCGCCUAAUG
This 53-nucleotide transfer RNA is filed under the name Samoaia leonensis. Its description in RNAcentral is "tRNA-Tyr". The record is from RNAcentral. Lineage: Eukaryota; Metazoa; Arthropoda; Insecta; Diptera; Drosophilidae.